Molecule: transfer RNA, 90 nt
Filed under: Candidatus Woesebacteria bacterium
Lineage: Bacteria; Candidatus Woeseibacteriota
Description: tRNA-Ser
Rfam family: tRNA
About the family: Transfer RNA (tRNA) molecules are approximately 80 nucleotides in length.
Source: RNAcentral
GGUGAGGUGCCGGAGUGGUCGAACGGGCUCGCUUGGAAAGCGAGUGUGGCUGCAAAGUUACCGUGGGUUCGAAUCCCACCCUCACCGCCA